RNAcentral lists this ribosomal RNA (429 nucleotides) under uncultured bacterium. Its description in RNAcentral is "bacterial SSU rRNA". It matches the Rfam family "Bacterial small subunit ribosomal RNA", at positions 354 to 796 of the family's 1533-position model. The record is from RNAcentral.
GUAAGGAAUAUUCCGCAAUGGGUUAACAGCCUGACGGAGCAAUGCCGCGUGAUCGAUGAAGCCCUUCGGGGUGUAAAGAUCUUUUCUGUGGGAACAAACAAAUGAGUGUACCAUAGGAAUAAGUCACGGCUAAUCACGUGCCAGCAGCCGCGGUAAUACGUGAGUGGCUAGCGUUAUCCGGAAUUAUUGGGCGUAAAGCGUCUGUAGGGGGGAAGUUAAGUGAAUUGUAAAAUAUCCCGACUUAAUCGGGAAAGCGCAGUUCAAACUGGCUUUCUAGAAGAUAGUAGAGGCAAGUGGAAUUCCCGGAGUAGGGGUAAAAUCCGUAGAUACCGGGAGGAACACCAAUAGCGAAGGCAACUUGCUGGGCUAUUCUUGACCCUGAGAGACGAAAGCGUGGGGAGCAAACGGGAUUAGAAACCCCUGUAGUCC